This 253-nucleotide ribosomal RNA is filed under the name uncultured bacterium. RNAcentral describes it as "partial 16S ribosomal RNA". It matches the Rfam family "Bacterial small subunit ribosomal RNA", at positions 524 to 776 of the family's 1533-position model. The record is from RNAcentral.
UACGUAGGGUGCGAGCGUUGUCCGGAAUUAUUGGGCGUAAAGAGCUUGUAGGCGGUCUGUCGCGUCUGCUGUGAAAAUCCGGGGCUCAACCCCGGACUUGCAGUGGGUACGGGCAGACUAGAGUGUGGUAGGGGAGACUGGAAUUCCUGGUGUAGCGGUGAAAUGCGCAGAUAUCAGGAGGAACACCAAUGGCGAAGGCAGCUCGCUGGGACGGUAUUGACGCUGAGACGCGAAAGCGUGGGGAGCAAACAGG